CAAAGUAGAUGUCCUAACCGACUUGCCAAAACUAUAGUUAACAAUACAUUUGUGAAGUGGUUAAAAAAUGAGUUUUAAAUGACUCCAAUCUAAGUGUAUGUAAACUUCUGACUUCAACUGUACAUAUAGAUACAUCUAUCUAUCUGAAUAAAAAGGCUCCGCUUAUUUUUUAUUUUUUUCAUUAACCUGUGUUUAAAGUGCUAGUCGUUGCAGAUUAGGCACAUAAGAGAUAUGGCACCCUAUGUCCCCAUAUACUGCACUACUUUUGACCAGAGCCCUGUGUGCCCCGGACAAAAGUCGUACACUCUUUAGGGUGCCAUUUGCAACGUAAAGAACAAUGGUUAACAUCAACCCGUGAACACUAAAGUCUUGUGUCUGUUUCUGCACAUAUGAUGGUCUCUGCACAGUGUGGUUGAGAGACAUUAAGGUACUACUGGUGGAGGCUUUCUGAAAUACUAUCACUUUUUUGAAAUGUUGGAUAUGUUAUCAAUAUCUACUGUAGGGUUGAAUGGUGAUGAAAUUGUUUGUAAAAGUAGGUAUAUUGUAUCAGUUUUUUUGCAGAGUUUUUUUUUGUGUGUGUGUGUGUGUGUGGGGGGGGGGGGGGGGGGGGGUGUCGUUGUCUAGCUCUACAGUCCUCUAAUUUCAAAGAGAAAUCUAUUAUAAUGGAGGUUUGUCUGUUUGAUAAUGGUCCAUAAACAUUUUUUUUGCAGUUUGACUUACAUGUGAAGUAUUAGUCUCUCAAUGAAAUGAAUAAAUAUGUUUUUUUUUAA
Molecule: non-coding RNA, 770 nt
Organism: Oncorhynchus mykiss (rainbow trout)
Lineage: Eukaryota; Metazoa; Chordata; Actinopteri; Salmoniformes; Salmonidae
Source: RefSeq, a predicted model, not a curated record